AGGUUGUGCCCUUGAGGCGUGGCUUCCGGAGCUAACGCGUUAAGUCGACCGCCUGGGGAGUACGGCCGCAAGGUUAAAACUCAAAUGAAUUGACGGGGGCCCGCACAAGCGGUGGAGCAUGUGGUUUAAUUCGAUGCAACGCGAAGAACCUUACCUGGUCUUGACAUCCACGGAAGUUUUCAGAGAUGAGAAUGUGCCUUCGGGAACCGUGAGACAGGUGCUGCAUGGCUGUCGUCAGCUCGUGUUGUGAAAUGUUGGGUUAAGUCCCGCAACGAGCGCAACCCUUAUCCUUUGUUGCCAGCGGUCGGCCGGGAACUCAAAGGAGACUGCCAGUGAUAAACUGGAGGAAGGUGGGGAUGACGUCAAGUCAUCAUGGCCCUUACGACCAGGGCUACACACGUGCU
This 404-nucleotide ribosomal RNA is filed under the name Shigella sonnei. Its description in RNAcentral is "bacterial SSU rRNA". It matches the Rfam family "Bacterial small subunit ribosomal RNA", at positions 821 to 1226 of the family's 1533-position model. Lineage: Bacteria; Pseudomonadati; Pseudomonadota; Gammaproteobacteria; Enterobacterales; Enterobacteriaceae. The record is from RNAcentral.